GGGGAUGCAUUGCAUCGACGAGAAUGCACUUUAAAAAACAGCAAGCCGACACUGAUUGAAAGUCGUAAAAUACAAUCAAAAUAUAAAAGCUAUUGGAUUUAAUCCUUUUAGCGGUCGACAACUUGCAUACGCGCAAGCGUACGUAAACUAAGAUCUGUUUAUAAAAUCUUUUCUCAAUGGGAUUUUAUAAGCAUAAACACAGUUGAGAGCUGAUAAGGAAAGCUGGUUUUUGUCCUUAUUGAAUUUAUAAACCUUGACGCUAUUAAUUCUGGUUGAUUAGAAAAAAAUAGCGUGACUUUAAAAAUCAACUAAGCUUGUAGAAGUUUUUAAUGUAAUUUCUUGCACUCGAGUUCAUAGCUCGACAUCUCCACAA
RNAcentral lists this transfer-messenger RNA (373 nucleotides) under Patescibacteria group. RNAcentral's name for it is "GWB1-37-8 sp016204535 Standard tmRNA". It matches the Rfam family "transfer-messenger RNA". From Rfam's summary of the family: Bacterial tmRNA, also known as 10Sa RNA or SsrA, is named for its dual tRNA and mRNA-like properties. Its role is to liberate the mRNA from a stalled ribosome. To accomplish this part of the tmRNA is used as a reading frame that ends in a translation stop signal. RNAcentral also lists the same sequence under 1 other name. The record is from RNAcentral.